UAGGGAAUCUUCCACAAUGGACGCAAGUCUGAUGGAGCAACGCCGCGUGAGUGAAGAAGGUUUUCGGAUCGUAAAGCUCUGUUGUUGGUGAAGAAGGAUAGAGGCAGUAACUGGUCUUUAUUUGACGGUAAUCAACCAGAAAGUCACGGCUAACUACGUGCCAGCAGCCGCGGUAAUACGUAGGUGGCAAGCGUUGUCCGGAUUUAUUGGGCGUAAAGCGAGCGCAGGCGGAAUGAUAAGUCUGAUGUGAAAGCCCACGGCUCAACCGUGGAACUGCAUCGGAAACUGUCAUUCUUGAGUGCAGAAGAGGAGAGUGGAAUUCCAUGUGUAGCGGUGGAAUGCGUUGAUAUAUGGAAGAACACCAGUGGCGAAGGCGGCUCUCUGGUCUGCAACUGACGCUGAGGCUCGAAAGCAUGGGUAGCGAACAGG
This 429-nucleotide ribosomal RNA is filed under the name bacterium. RNAcentral describes it as "partial 16S ribosomal RNA". It matches the Rfam family "Bacterial small subunit ribosomal RNA", at positions 355 to 776 of the family's 1533-position model. The record is from RNAcentral.